CACGUAGGCGGGUCCUUAAGUCAGGGGUGAAAUCCUGGAGCUCAACUCCAGAACUGCCUUUGAUACUGAGGAUCUCGAGUUCGGGAGAGGUGAGUGGAAUUGCGAGUGUAGAGGUGAAAUUCGUAGAUAUUCGCAAGAACACCAGUGGCGAAGGCGGCUCACUGGCCCGGUACUGACGCUGAGGUGCGAAAGCGUGGGGAGCAGACAGGAUUAGAUACCCUGGUAGUCCACGCCGUAAACGAUGGAUGCCAGCCGUCAGACAGCUUGCUGUUUGGUGGCGCAGUUAACGCAUUAAGCAUCCCACCUGGGGAGUACGGUCGCAAGAUUAAA
This 330-nucleotide ribosomal RNA is filed under the name uncultured bacterium. RNAcentral describes it as "bacterial SSU rRNA". It matches the Rfam family "Bacterial small subunit ribosomal RNA", at positions 568 to 898 of the family's 1533-position model. The record is from RNAcentral.